CAUAAAAUUCAUUGCAUGAUGAAUGGAAAACUAAGAGCUUGGUAAAGCAGACAACCAUGAAAAUUUCUACCAGCCCUGAUGGUUUUAAUUUGCAUUAUAUUGAUUGAAUCAAGUUUCUUUCAGGUUGCAAAAUCUAUUUGUAAUACAUAGAAAAUUUCAUUAUCGAUCAAGCUUGGGGGCAACAAUCCCACAAUUUGCUAUGCAUUAACUACAAUAUAUUUGAUGCUCCAAUGGCUUGAACAUGAGUCUUUAUGCUUAUCUUAUCGAGAACAAACUUUAGCUUGUUUC
This 288-nucleotide long non-coding RNA is filed under the name Phoenix dactylifera (date palm). RNAcentral's name for it is "long non-coding RNA (PDAC_LNC017141)". The record is from RNAcentral. Lineage: Eukaryota; Viridiplantae; Streptophyta; Magnoliopsida; Arecales; Arecaceae.